CUCUACGGCCAUGCCACCUUGAACAAGCCCAAUCCCAUCUGAUCUCAGAAGCUAAGAAGGGUCGGGCCUGGUUAGUACUUGGAUGAGAGACCACCUAGGAAGACCAGGUGCUGUAGGCA
Non-coding RNA from Pteropus alecto (black flying fox), 119 nucleotides. The record is from Rfam. Lineage: Eukaryota; Metazoa; Chordata; Mammalia; Chiroptera; Pteropodidae.